This 901-nucleotide ribosomal RNA is filed under the name Septoria epambrosiae. Its description in RNAcentral is "LSU rRNA". It matches the Rfam family "Eukaryotic large subunit ribosomal RNA", at positions 36 to 966 of the family's 3401-position model. Lineage: Eukaryota; Fungi; Ascomycota; Dothideomycetes; Mycosphaerellales; Mycosphaerellaceae. The record is from RNAcentral.
AAGCAUAUCAAUAAGCGGAGGAAAAGAAACCAACAGGGAUUGCCCUAGUAACGGCGAGUGAAGCGGCAACAGCUCAAAUUUGAAAUCUGGCGCAAGCCCGAGUUGUAAUUUGUAGAGGAUGCUUCUGGGUAGCGACCGAUCUAAGUUCCUUGGAACAGGACGUCAUAGAGGGUGAGAAUCCCGUAUGUGACCGGCCCGCACCCUUUACGUAGCUCCUUCGACGAGUCGAGUUGUUUGGGAAUGCAGCUCUAAAUGGGAGGUAAAUUUCUUCUAAAGCUAAAUACCGGCCAGAGACCGAUAGCGCACAAGUAGAGUGAUCGAAAGAUGAAAAGUACUUUGGAAAGAGAGUUAAAAAGCACGUGAAAUUGUUGAAAGGGAAGCGCCUGCAACCAGACUUCGCGGCAGUGUUCCGCCGGUCUUCUGACCGGUUCAUUCUCUGUCGCGAGGCCAUCAUCGUCUGGGCCCGCCGGAUAAGACCUUAGGAAUGUAGCUCACCUUCGGGGGAGUGUUAUAGCCUAGGGUGAUGCGGCGAGGCUCGGGCGAGGUCCGCGCUUCGGCAAGGAUGAUGGCGUAAUGGUUGUCGGCGGCCCGUCUUGAAACACGGACCAAGGAGUCUAACAUCUAUGCGAGUGUUCGGGUGUCAAACCCCUACGCGUAAUGAAAGUGAACGGAGGUGGGAACCGCAAGGUGCACCAUCGACCGAUCCUGAUGUCCUCGGAUGGAUUUGAGUAAGAGCAUAGCUGUUGGGACCCGAAAGAUGGUGAACUAUGCCUGAAUAGGGUGAAGCCAGAGGAAACUCUGGUGGAGGCUCGCAGCGGUUCUGACGUGCAAAUCGAUCGUCAAAUUUGGGUAUAGGGGCGAAAGACUAAUCGAACCAUCUAGUAGCUGGUUCCUGCCGAAG